CACGUGUAGCAGUGAAAUGCGUAGAGAUGUGGAGGAAUACCGAUGGCGAAGGCAGCCUCCUGGGAUAACACUGACGUUCAUGCCCGAAAGCGUGGGUAGCAAACAGGAUUAGAUACCCUGGUAGUNCACGCCCUAAACGAUGUCGAUUAGCUGUUGGGCAGCAUGACUGCUUAGUAGCGAAGCUAACGCGUGAAAUCGACCGCCUGGGGAGUACGGUCGCAAGAUUAAAACUCAAAGGAAUUGACGGGGACCCGCACAAGCGGUGGAUGAUGUGGAUUAAUUCGAUGCAACGCGAAGAACCUUACCUGGUCUUGACAUGUACAGAACCCUCCAGAGACGGAGGGGUGCCUUCGGGAGCCGUAACACAGGUGCUGCAUGGCUGUCGUCAGCUCGUGUCGUGAGAUGUUGGGUUAAGUCCCGCAACGAGCGCAACCCUUGUCAUUAGUUGCCAUCAUUAAGUUGGGCACUCUAAUGAGACUGCCGGUGACAAGCCGGAGGAAGGUGGGGAUGACGUCAAGUCCUCAUGGCCCUUAUGACCAGGGCUUCACACGUCAUACAAUGGUCGGUACAGAGGGUAGCCAAGCCGCGAGGUGGAGCCAAUCUCACAAAACCGAUCGUGGUCCGGAUUGCACUCUGCAACUCGAGUGCAUGAAGUCGGAAUCGCUAGUAAUCGCAGGUCAGCAUACUGCGGUGAAUACGUUCCCGGGUCUUGUAC
RNAcentral lists this ribosomal RNA (715 nucleotides) under uncultured bacterium. RNAcentral describes it as "bacterial SSU rRNA". It matches the Rfam family "Bacterial small subunit ribosomal RNA", at positions 670 to 1386 of the family's 1533-position model. The record is from RNAcentral.